AUUGAACGCUGGCGGCAUGCCUUACACAUGCAAGUCGAACGGCAGCACGGGUGCUUGCACCUGGUGGCGAGUGGCGAACGGGUGAGUAAUACAUCGGAACAUGUCCUGUAGUGGGGGAUAGCCCGGCGAAAGCCGGAUUAAUACCGCAUACGAUCCAUGGAUGAAAGCGGGGGACCUUCGGGCCUCGCGCUAUAGGGUUGGCCGAUGGCUGAUUAGCUAGUUGGUGGGGUAAAGGCCUACCAAGGCGACGAUCAGUAGCUGGUCUGAGAGGACGACCAGCCACACUGGGACUGAGACACGGCCCAGACUCCUACGGGAGGCAGCAGUGGGGAAUUUUGGACAAUGGGCGAAAGCCUGAUCCAGCAAUGCCGCGUGUGUGAAGAAGGCCUUCGGGUUGUAAAGCACUUUUGUCCGGAAAGAAAKMCUUGGCUCUAAUACAGUCGGGGGAUGAC
This 452-nucleotide ribosomal RNA is filed under the name Burkholderia cepacia. RNAcentral's name for it is "bacterial SSU rRNA". It matches the Rfam family "Bacterial small subunit ribosomal RNA", at positions 30 to 473 of the family's 1533-position model. Lineage: Bacteria; Pseudomonadati; Pseudomonadota; Betaproteobacteria; Burkholderiales; Burkholderiaceae. The record is from RNAcentral.